UAUGUGAUCGUCUCUCGCAUAUCAAUAAGCGGAGGAAAAGAAACUAACAAGGAUUCCCCUAGUAACGGCGAGUGAAGCGGGAAGAGCUCAAAUUUGAAAUCUUAAAGGGUUUCCCUUUACGAAUUGUAGUUUAAAGAAGUGUUUUCUGUUGAGGUUUUGGUAAAAGUUCUUUGGAAUAGGACAUCAUAGAGGGUGAGAAUCCCGUAUUUGACCUUUACUUUCAACUUUGUGAUACACUUUCAAAGAGUCGGAUUGUUUGGGAAUGCAGUCCAAAAUGGGUGGUAAAUUUCAUCUAAAGCUAAAUAUUGGCGAGAGACCGAUAGCGAACAAGUACCGUGAGGGAAAGAUGAAAAGAACUUUGAAAAGAGAGUUAAACAGUACGUGAAAUUGUCAAAAGGGAAGCGUUUGACACCAGUGUUGUUUUUCUGAAAAUCAAUUAAAGAACUGUUUAUGCUAAGUUGUUUAGACUUUAUCAGCUAACUGUUUAGUUUUGAGCUUUUCUUUAAUGCACUUUUCAGUUAACAAGUCAACAUCAAUUUCUUUUGCUGUAAAAAAGCUUGAGGAAGGUGGCUUGAGAUUCGUCUUAAGUGUUUAUAGCCUCUUGCCUAUGCAAGUCGGAGAGAUUGAGGUCUGCAGCGUAGAUCCUUCGGGGCUAAAUGCAUUUGUGCUAAGUUAUAGCAUUUUAUAGACAACUUGUUGACUACGAUUUGUCUUGUAGCUUACUCGCUUAUGUUAUUUUACCUACGCUUAGGAUGUUGAGUAGCGACAUACGCAC
This 775-nucleotide ribosomal RNA is filed under the name uncultured Neocallimastigales. RNAcentral describes it as "partial large subunit ribosomal RNA". It matches the Rfam family "Eukaryotic large subunit ribosomal RNA", at positions 24 to 649 of the family's 3401-position model. The record is from RNAcentral. Lineage: Eukaryota; Fungi; Neocallimastigomycota; Neocallimastigomycetes; Neocallimastigales.